Molecule: ribosomal RNA, 377 nt
Filed under: uncultured Gammaproteobacteria bacterium
Lineage: Bacteria; Pseudomonadati; Pseudomonadota; Gammaproteobacteria
Description: bacterial SSU rRNA
Rfam family: Bacterial small subunit ribosomal RNA
Source: RNAcentral
UAAUACGGGGGGUGCGAGCGUUAAUCGGAAUUACUGGGCGUAAAGCGUACGUAGGUGGCUUGAUAAGUCGGAUGUGAAAGCCCUGGGCUCAACCUGGGAACUGCAUUCGAUACUGUCUGGCUAGAGUAUGGUAGAGGGAAGUGGAAUUCCGGGUGUAGCGGUGAAAUGCGUAGAUAUCCGGAGGAACACCAGUGGCGAAGGCGGCUUCCUGGACUAAUACUGACACUGAGGUACGAAAGCGUGGGGAGCAAACAGGAUUAGAUACCCUGGUAGUCCACGCCCUAAACGAUGUCAACUAGCCGUUGGAGGAAUUUAAUCCUUUAGUAGCGCAGCUAACGCGAUAAGUUGACCGCCUGGGGAGUACGGUCGCAAGAUUA